Molecule: ribosomal RNA, 513 nt
Filed under: uncultured Bacillota bacterium
Lineage: Bacteria; Bacillati; Bacillota
Description: bacterial SSU rRNA
Rfam family: Bacterial small subunit ribosomal RNA
Source: RNAcentral
CAACGCCGCGUGAGUGAUGAAGGUUUUCGGAUCGUAAAACUCUGUUGUCAGGGAAGAACAAGUACCGGAGUAACUGCCGGUACCUUGACGGUACCUGACCAGAAAGCCACGGCUAACUACGUGCCAGCAGCCGCGGUAAUACGUAGGUGGCAAGCGUUGUCCGGAAUUAUUGGGCGUAAAGCGCGCGCAGGCGGUUCCUUAAGUCUGAUGUGAAAGCCCCCGGCUCAACCGGGGAGGGUCAUUGGAAACUGGGGAACUUGAGUGCAGAAGAGAAGAGUGGAAUUCCACGUGUAGCGGUGAAAUGCGUAGAGAUGUGGAGGAACACCAGUGGCGAAGGCGACUCUUUGGUCUGUAACUGACGCUGAGGCGCGAAAGCGUGGGGAGCAAACAGGAUUAGAUUCCCUGGUAGUCCACGCCGUAAACGAUGAGUGCUAAGUGUUAGAGGGUUUCCGCCCUUUAGUGCUGCAGCAAACGCAUUAAGCACUCCGCCUGGGGAGUACGGCCGCAAGGCUG